RNAcentral lists this ribosomal RNA (648 nucleotides) under Triticum aestivum (bread wheat). Its description in RNAcentral is "partial small subunit ribosomal RNA". Lineage: Eukaryota; Viridiplantae; Streptophyta; Magnoliopsida; Poales; Poaceae. The record is from RNAcentral.
AUGAUUGCGGUGACCACUUGGUACAUUUGGUGGCAGAGGAGGCAAGUGGAAAAGGGAGAAGAGGUGCAGAACACAGAACGAUCAACACAAGCGAUACGAGCUGUCACUCUAAACGUUGUUCGUGCAGCAACGCAAAAGGCAGUCGCUCCAAGGUUGAAUAUUUGGAAGCGACCUUCAUCUGGCCAACUAGUUCUGAACACAGAUGCGUCCUUUAUAGAAGACAAUUAUUCUGGAUCUUGUGGUGCUGUUAUCCGAGAUGGUGCUGGUUACUUUGUUGCGGCCUCCACGACGAAGCUAGAGCAUGUUUCUGACGUUGAAUCAGCGGAGGCGGCAGCUCUUCUUGAGGGCUUGAAGCUUGCUCGGUUAGUGGGAGCUAAUUCCAUAGUCGCCCGGGCGGAUAACAUCACAGUGGUGGAUGCAAUGACAAACAAUUAUGGACAUUCUAUGGUGGCUAGUCCCAUACUUGACGACUGUCGGCAAAUAUGCGCAGAUUUCGGGAAGGUUCUUUUUGAAUUUUGUAGCAGAGAUUCAAACAUGGUAGCUCAUAGGCUAGCUCAGCAUGGUCGGGAUGAUCCACCGUCUUUGUGGUUGGACGUCCCACCAGAUUUUAUUUUGAAUUUACUUGCGGAUGAUGUAAGCAUUAUUUGA